Molecule: non-coding RNA, 2138 nt
Organism: Oncorhynchus mykiss (rainbow trout)
Lineage: Eukaryota; Metazoa; Chordata; Actinopteri; Salmoniformes; Salmonidae
Source: RefSeq, a predicted model, not a curated record
GAUGGGGAGGGAAUUAUAGGAGGGGAGAAUAGGGAUAUAAUAGUAAAAAAUGUUAGACCUGGUGCUCAAAGCACAUGGCUACUUAAUAUGCAUUGUUGACACAUGCCUGCCAACUCCUCCUCUCACCCAGCAAAACCCCCCAUUUCCCCUCCUCCUUCGACAGAGAAGAAUGGGCAAUAUCCUUGGGCAAUUUGCUCAUUUUUCUGUUCCAAAUGUUCCAAAUACCCAUAUUGUACCAUUAGUCCUCUCCUCCAAUCAGAUGCUUCAGUUUGUUUCAAAUUGGAGAAAGAGAGCAAAAAUACACCAAUGAAGAGCCUAGCUUGUUCCAAAAGUUUUUAAGCCAAUCAUCUUCCUCUGAAAUGUUCCUAACGUCACUUCAUCACAAAAUCUUUUUCUGUCAGCCAUUGAUGCUACUCGGUGAGUAUCUGAGGUAAUUUUGCUUAAUUUGCAACGAAUUUAAAGUCAACAACUAUAAAUGUGAUGAAAUAUGACAAUAACACGUCUAGUCAACCGAAUUGUUUGACUACAGGGGCUUCCCAAACGGUGUAAUUUAACAACUUUCGUAGAUCGCUAGCUACUGUAGCCUGCUGCUGCACAGGCAAGUUAGCGUUGGCUAUAAAUAAUUGUUCUGCCAGCCAUUGAUGCUACUCGGUGAGUAUCUGAGGUAAUUUUGCUUAAUUUGCAACGAAUUUAAAGUCAACAACUAUAAAUGUGAUGAAAUAUGACAAUAACACGUCUAGCCAACCGACUUGUUUGACUACAGUGGCUACCCAAAUUGUGUAAUUUAACAACGUUCGUAAAUCGCUAGCUACUGUAGGUGGACAAAACUCACAAAGUUUAUUUGACCACUGACAAUCCUGUAAAACCUUAGCUAACAUCUAUAUCAACUAAAAGUUGGAAUUCUAUACUAUUUAAUUGUAUAUUUUCUUUUGUUUUUUGAUGGCAUGCAUUUGAAGUGUAUGUAGUUGAAUGAAUUGUAUUGAUGGUCAUUGGGGGCAAACGUGUCUUUCUAUGUAAACUGAAUUUAACUGCAAAUGAAAUAAUAAUCAUCCUACCCAUAACCCCCAAACCCCCCACUGCUGUCCUCCUCCUAGCAGACCUAUCAAGCAAACGUAAGUUCCUUUAUAUGAAUCUAAUACGGUUAUGCUGUCACUUGUCACUGCACUCAUCAGUCAUGAUAAUAGUAUUUUUCUUGCCUCCUAAGAUGGAAAAUCCAAGGUUCCGUUUCUCGCCCUCACAGGAGUUGGUCCUCAAGGCCACACACCCCAGGCAGUAUGCAGGACACAAGACAACUGUGUCCAAUUUGGCCUAGUGUUUAAUAUCUUAACAAUGUGGAGUAAUUAUAGUUGAUGAAUUUACCUCAGCACUUUCUGAGGAGGGCCUUGGAGGCAGGAAGGACUGCCAGGAGGGCAAGGCCCUUGUCGGCAUCGGGAAGUACAAGUGGGACUCACUACAGGACCUGUAUGAGGCUACAGGUGCGGACAGGAUAAAAUAUAUGUCAGGAGCUUGAGGGCGCAGACACCCCGUUAUCCUGGGAGUGCAAUGGCCGCCUUGAUUGGCUACAUUCAGUGCAGAGACCAGGAGGGGGUAGCUGCUGUGGCCAGGCCCGCCCCAGCCAGCACCACCCCUGCCAACACCAUCCGGCCCAAGAGUGCGGCUACGUAAGUGUAGGGACCUGACCCUGAUUGAUACAUGUUAUUUGAACGAACGCAUUCAUUUUGGGGUAAUUGCUUUUCUUUUAAUUGACUUAAGUUGUAUUGAUAUUUUAUUGUUUGGAUUGUUUAUUUUUGUAAGAUAAACAAAAUGUAUGGACUAAAAAAAAUAGAUUUAAAAAAAUAAAGAAAUCACCUUUGGGGAACCGCCUGUUCAGAACUGGGGGACACCAUGGAUGGCUACAUGUCAGGUGUGGAGGUGGGUCCUUGUGUGUUCAGAACUGGAGGCCACCAUGGACGGCUGGCUACAUGUCAGGUGUGGAGGUGGGGGCUUGUGUUUCCCAGCAUUAUUUGUUUUUUUGUGUGUUACAACUCUGUAAACAGUGUGUUUAUUGAGUAAGAAAAUGAUGACUUAUUUGCUUGUCUUCUUGUUUGUUGAACUUUAAAGAAGAGUGUAUGACAAUAAAUCAAAAUGAAUUUAAGGGA